GUUAGCUCAGGGCCUUCCCUCCCCCUCACUCUCACUGUGCUAUCUGAAACGGGGUCAGACUGCUGGCGGAAUCCAGGCCAUUUCUGCCUUUGUCUUUGUAACAGUGUGCUGUCUGAGUCUGCCCGCUAGAGGAAGAGAGAGAGCCGUGAUUCAGAGCCCCAGCCCUCCACUUUAACACAGAAACACAGAGACAAAGGAGCUGUUUACUGCUUUAACUCACAAAGAGAAACGGGGGAAUUACUUCUCUGCAUGGUGUGAUGUUCAGGGUGAGAAAGGUCCGCCAUAAUCUUGCCAGCACACUUUGUCAACUUGCUGUAUCAUAUAUCCUGAAGCGUUGGCUGAGCACACCCGAUGAUCCCCUCUGCUGUCCUGAUUAUGUGCUGGCGUUUGGCUCGUUCUUUUGAGUCAGACGAUCCAAAGCAGAUGGUUAUAGAUGACGUGAGGAUGCCACAGCUAUGCUGUAGAGACAGGGUUCCCAACCCCCUUCAGAAUUUCCAGCUUUGCGGACAUAAAAAUCUGCUGAGCUGUGUCAGCUUACCUGCCCAGACCCUGCUUCACAUCUUCACAAUAAACCAGAGCUGUGAAGUGACCACCCUGAGUCCGGUAACAAUCAGUAUGAAGAAGCAUCAGUCUGCUGAUCCUACCUCCUCCACAUCCCCACUCCAGCCAGAGGAGAGGAGUGGAGAGCAGAACCUGACCGAGAGGCAUGAUGCUCCCUUAAGAAGACAAGACAUCACUCCUUAUUACAUGCUGUGGAGCGCGCGGAAAGGGAAUAA
This 776-nucleotide long non-coding RNA is filed under the name Astyanax mexicanus (Mexican tetra). RNAcentral's name for it is "lncRNA (ENSAMXG00005025326.1)". The record is from RNAcentral. Lineage: Eukaryota; Metazoa; Chordata; Actinopteri; Characiformes; Acestrorhamphidae.